UACGUAGGGGGCUAGCGUUGUCCGGAAUCAUUGGGCGUAAAGCGCGUGUAGGCGGUUCGGUAAGUCCGCUGUGAAAGUCGGGGGCUCAACCCUCGAAUGCCGGUGGAUACUGUCGAACUAGAGUGCGGAAGAGGCGAGUGGAAUUCCUGGUGUAGCGGUGAAAUGCGCAGAUAUCAGGAGGAACACCAAUUGCGAAGGCAGCUCGCUGGGACGUAACUGACGCUGAGGCGCGAAAGCGUGGGGAGCAAACAGG
RNAcentral lists this ribosomal RNA (253 nucleotides) under uncultured bacterium. RNAcentral describes it as "partial 16S ribosomal RNA". It matches the Rfam family "Bacterial small subunit ribosomal RNA", at positions 524 to 776 of the family's 1533-position model. The record is from RNAcentral.